RNAcentral lists this ribosomal RNA (497 nucleotides) under uncultured bacterium. RNAcentral's name for it is "partial 16S ribosomal RNA". It matches the Rfam family "Bacterial small subunit ribosomal RNA", at positions 28 to 507 of the family's 1533-position model. The record is from RNAcentral.
GAUGAACGCUGGCGGCGUGCCUAAUACAUGCAAGUCGAGCGAACGGACGAGAAGCUUGCUUCUCUGAUGUUAGCGGCGGACGGGUGAGUAACACGUGGAUAACCUACCUAUAAGACUGGGAUAACUUCGGGAAACCGGAGCUAAUACCGGAUAAUAUUUUGAACCGCAUGGUUCAAAAGUGAAAGACGGUCCUGCUGUCACUUAUAGAUGGAUCUGCGCUGCAUUAGCUAGUUGGUAAGGUAACGGCUUACCAAGGCAACGAUGCAUAGCCGACCUGAGAGGGUGAUCGGCCACACUGGAACUGAGACACGGUCCAGACUCCUACGGGAGGCAGCAGUAGGGAAUCUUCCGCAAUGGGCGAAAGCCUGACGGAGCAACGCCGCGUGAGUGAUGAAGGUCUUCGGAUCGUAAAACUCUGUUAUUAGGGAAGAACAUAUGUGUAAGUAACUGUGCACAUCUUGACGGUACCUAAUCAGAAAGCCACGGCUAACUACGUG